UUCAGAGGACGUGAAACCGUUUGGAAGGAAACGGGUAGAGCUGCGAGUUGCUCGGCUGAUUCAGGCAGUCUGCAGGGCUGCUCUUGCUUUGUCGAUCGCAAGACGACGUUGCUUGAGCGUGCACUGUUGGACGGCCGCAUUUUGGCCGAGUUGCACCAGCGGCCGUACUCGGUCGACUGUGCCGCCUAGUUGACGAUGCUGUCUUCGGAUGGUUAUCGGAUAGGCGCGCACGGUUCGUACUGGGAACGGAUUAUUAGUUCGGUGGUCGCCUUCGGGCGCGAGGACUGCUUGAGUUCUGUGCGUAGUGGCUAACGUGCGUGCACGAAGGCUGCUGCGUGUGGUUCAGCUUGCAUGAAUCGAAGACCGCCGGCGCUGGUGAACAAGUCAGCGACCUACCCGACCCGUCUUGAAACACGGACCAAGGAGUCUAGCAUGUGCGCGAGUCGUAGGGUGCUAAAACCCGAAGGCGCAGUGAAAGCAAAGCUUCGCUCGACACAAGAUCUGUCGUGUUCGCACGACGGCGCAUUGUGGCCCCGUCCGAGCUGCUUGUUGGCUGGGCGGCGGUAGAGCGCACACGCUAGGACCCGAAAGAUGGUGAACUAUGCCUGAGCAGGGCGAAGUCAGAGGAAACUCUGAUGGAGGCUCGAAACGGUUCUGACGUGCAAAUCGAUCGUCAGACUUGGGUAUAGG
RNAcentral lists this ribosomal RNA (690 nucleotides) under Theristus vivax. Its description in RNAcentral is "partial large subunit ribosomal RNA". It matches the Rfam family "Eukaryotic large subunit ribosomal RNA", at positions 389 to 921 of the family's 3401-position model. The record is from RNAcentral. Lineage: Eukaryota; Metazoa; Nematoda; Chromadorea; Monhysterida; Xyalidae.